CAAACGCUUGGUGAUAUCGGAUCGGCGAAAAGAAAGUUUAUAUCCUCCUAUAAAUAUCGUACUAAAGAGUUUCUGAAAAAUGCCGUAAGCUAAGAAUAUUACGUGAAAGACGUUGCUAUCAAAAUGUUAACGCAGAAUCAGAGAUCGUAAUCAGAUAACCCGAACGAAUUCGAAGAGCU
Nomia melanderi (Alkali bee) is the source of this 179-nucleotide long non-coding RNA. RefSeq lists it as uncharacterized. The record is from RefSeq and is a predicted model, not a curated record. Lineage: Eukaryota; Metazoa; Arthropoda; Insecta; Hymenoptera; Halictidae.